UACGUAGGGAGCAAGCGUUAUCCGGAAUUAUUGGGUGUAAAGGGUGCGUAGACGGGAAAUUAAGUUAGUUGUGAAAUCCCUCGGCUCAACUGAGGAACUGCAACUAAAACUGAUUUUCUUGAGUGCAGUAGAGGUUAGUGGAAUUCCUAGUGUAGCGGUGGAAUGCGUAGAUAUUAGGAGGAACACCGGCGGCGAAGGCGGCCUGCUGGACCGCGACUGACGUUGAGGCUCGAAAGCGUGGGGAGCGAACAGG
This 253-nucleotide ribosomal RNA is filed under the name uncultured Eubacteriales bacterium. Its description in RNAcentral is "uncultured Clostridiales bacterium partial 16S ribosomal RNA". It matches the Rfam family "Bacterial small subunit ribosomal RNA", at positions 524 to 776 of the family's 1533-position model. The record is from RNAcentral. Lineage: Bacteria; Bacillati; Bacillota; Clostridia; Eubacteriales.